GGCUUCGUGGCCUAAUGGCUAGGGCGCUAGAUUUCGGUACUUCCUGUCUGAUCCUCUAGAGAUUGUCGGUUCGAGUCCGGCCGAAGUCG
Molecule: transfer RNA, 89 nt
Filed under: Xylaria digitata
Lineage: Eukaryota; Fungi; Ascomycota; Sordariomycetes; Xylariales; Xylariaceae
Also listed under: 3 other names
Description: tRNA-Arg
Rfam family: tRNA
About the family: Transfer RNA (tRNA) molecules are approximately 80 nucleotides in length. Their secondary structure includes four short double-helical elements and three loops (D, anti-codon, and T loops). Further hydrogen bonds mediate the characteristic L-shaped molecular structure. tRNAs have two regions of fundamental functional importance: the anti-codon, which is responsible for specific mRNA codon recognition, and the 3' end, to which the tRNAs corresponding amino acid is attached (by aminoacyl-tRNA synthetases). tRNAs cope with the degeneracy of the genetic code in two manners: having more than one tRNA (with a specific anti-codon) for a particular amino acid; and 'wobble' base-pairing, i.e. permitting non-standard base-pairing at the 3rd anti-codon position.
Source: RNAcentral